Unclassified non-coding RNA from Pongo abelii (Sumatran orangutan), 117 nucleotides. It matches the Rfam family "Metazoan signal recognition particle RNA". From Rfam's summary of the family: The signal recognition particle (SRP) is a universally conserved ribonucleoprotein. It is involved in the co-translational targeting of proteins to membranes. The record is from Ensembl. NCBI's taxonomy places the organism in Eukaryota, Metazoa, Chordata, Mammalia, Primates, Hominidae.
GCCAGGUGUGGUGGCUCACACCUGUAAUCCCAGCAUUUUGGGAGGCUGAGGCAGGUGGAUCACUUGAGGCCAGGAGUUCGAGACCAGCCUGGCCAACAUGGAGAAACCCCGCCUCUA